GACGAACGCUGGCGGCAGGCUUAACACAUGCAAGUCGAACGAGAGAAGAGAAGCUUGCUUUUCUGCUCUAGUGGCGGACGGGUGAGUUACACGUGAGCAAUCUGCCUUUCAGAGGGGGAUACCGCUUGGAAACUAUCGUUACUACCGCAUAACAUAAUUGAACCGCAUGAUUUGAUUAUCAAAGGUUUAUCGCUGAAAGAUGAGCUCGCGUCUGAUUAGCUAGUUGGUAAGGUAACGGCGUACCAAGGCGACGAUCAGUAGCCGGACUGAGAGGUUGGUCGCACACAUUGGGAGGGAGACACGGCGCAGACUCCUACGGGAGGCAGGGGUGGGGGAUAUUGCACAGUGGAGGAAAGUAUGAUGGAGCGUUGGCGCGUGAGGGAAGAAAGUUUUGGGAUGGCAAACGUCUGUAAUAAGGGACGAAAAAAGACGGUACCCGAGGAAGAAGCUCCGGCUAACUCCGUG
This 465-nucleotide ribosomal RNA is filed under the name uncultured bacterium. RNAcentral describes it as "partial 16S ribosomal RNA". It matches the Rfam family "Bacterial small subunit ribosomal RNA", at positions 28 to 507 of the family's 1533-position model. The record is from RNAcentral.